Molecule: long non-coding RNA, 3723 nt
Organism: Megachile rotundata (alfalfa leafcutting bee)
Lineage: Eukaryota; Metazoa; Arthropoda; Insecta; Hymenoptera; Megachilidae
Source: RefSeq, a predicted model, not a curated record
GGGAAUGCUGCCACUCUUCUCCCUGUCGAAACUGUCGAACGCUUUGCGAAGGACUAAAACAAGGUUCCAACAUCUUUCUCGAGAACACAGAUUCAAGAAAAACAAACACGUUUAGUAGAACACAAUUAUUUGGGAUGUGGUUAUUGGUUUAUUAUUAAUAAUGAAAUAUUAACACAUUGACUGUCAUGGAAGAUGUCUAAAAUAUAAUCAUUAAAAAGAAAUAUUUUAAAUAAUAUUAUAUUAACAAUAUAAGAUAGUCAACGUGUUAAUAUUUUUAGUUGUCCGAUGAAAUCCUUUUAGGAACGAAAAUCUCUUCCGAGAAGAAAUUAGCCGUGUUAAAAGAUCGUCUGCGAUACGAUCCAAAUUUAGAAUCCGAUGUUAAUGCCCUUCCGCACCCUCGCGAUUCUGGCUCGAAGCUUAUUUGGCUCGGUGCAACAUCGUUCACACUGGUUAGAACGUUUAUUUAUCGUUGUCGACUGACCAGCGAUCCUCGCGAUGAAACUUUACCGUAAUUUAUUGGAUAAUUUGUUUAGUAUCUUUGGGAAAAGCUAACAAAAGGUUCCUCCUCGAUUUUUUCAUCUGUUAUUUCGCAACGUCCAAUUGAUUUCAUCGACUCGUCAAGUUUGACGAUUUGUCAUCGAGUCAUUUAUGUAUCUUUACACAAUAUCUUGUAUCAUUAUUAAUGUUAAUUGAGCAUGAGGCGCCGUAGAUGUUUUGCCAAGAUCCAAGAAGAAAACUAACGCUUCAAAGUUUCAUUGUUCAGACGUAUUCGCAGAAAGAUAAAUGUCGUUUACAAAUUAUAAACGUUGUAAGGCUGGGCGUUACGAGCUUCUAUUUUUCGAUCGUCGUAUUGCUUCCCACUGGAGAAUCCUUCCUCUAUUUUUACCGAUCCGAUUCCCGAUGAUCGAAUCGUCACGCGAUACCUCCUCAUCAUACGGCUAAGACGGUUCUGUAGCUAUACAUAGGCAGCUGGCUGCCCUCGAUCGAAUGGAAGCACAAAUAAACUCUGAGAGAACGUGGCUUCUAUGGGCGAAGAUAACUUAUCUGACCUGUUUUAUUUUCUGUUGCUUUAAUUCCUUCUUCCAGACUUCUUGCAUAAUGUACAGCGAAAUAUUUUUCAUUCUUUCAUGUAUAUAACCUCUGUCAUCCCGCCAAAUUUAUUGGAAAUUUUGCAGUAAUUUAAUUUAUUGAGAAGCAAAGAGCCAAGUCAUAUGUCUUCAGACUUUAUAAGAUUGUAAAACUUGAAUAGGAGAAAUACACAAGAUCUGGUCAAUUUAUUCAUUGGAGUUGAGGUAAUUCUUGUGCGCCAGCCUAAACUAACAUGGAUAUACUCUGCGUCACCCUAAUCCCUAUGGAUUACAACAUUCUUUGGUAAAGUACGCAUGAAAGUUUGUCCCAUAUAUUGGAAAUAUUAAAUAAAAUGUAUGGUACGUAUCAAAUCCAGAUGUCUACACUUUUAUAAACAAUUUUAUAAAUGUAAAAUUCGGUUAUAGGAGAUUGAACAAGGUUCACGUGAUCUGACACCGCUAACGAUAGGGUCAAGAAGCGAAAAGGAAAACGACGGAACAGAGAGUGGACUAAAUUUAGUUGCGUCCAGUAAACACGAUACGAUUUCGCCGUCGACGAUCGAAAUACCGGAAAGCCAAGAAUGGCGAGGCGAAGAGCUGUACUAGUAUAUCCUGUUAAAUACAGCGAUCGUUGCAUCUUGGAAGAACCUUUAAUUUUUUUUAAUGAAUCAAACAUUAAGUCAUUGGUUUAACUGGAAGCCAGGGUGGACCUGGACAAUAUUGUUAGUAACAAUCACGGGUCAAUUUUCAAUUACGACUACAUACCAGCAAUUUGUUCAGGGGGAAGUUCGUCGGCCUGUGAACACAAAACUGGAUUGAGCUUUGGUUUCAUCGACAUUCGACAAAACAUUCGAUUAAAAACUGAAUAUCGAUUUUAAAUAAUCUGGGAAUCGACGAGCAAUUACGAAGUACGAAUUAAUUUGAUUGAGAGUCGAAGAAACUUCUUUUGCCAAUAGACGUGCAUUGUUAACCAGUGACUUCAAAGAAUUCGUGCAUUCUUUCUUAAAUUAGAAUACCAUUCUUGUCUUUGUUAUUUAAUUAAGUGCAGAAACUUGCAAGUGCGAUCGAAUUUCAACGACCUGUCCCGAGUUGUGCGACCCUUGGAACUGAUUCAACCCAAAAAAAAAUAGAAAAGUCUGUGAUUAAUCAGACAUCGAGCCUCUUUUCUCGACAUUUCUUUUGCAACGAAAUUAUUCGAUACUGAACAUUACAAUGGAUGCUAUUAAUUAAAUAUAAUGGAAUUGAUGGGGAAAAAAGAGGCUUGAGAAAGUUCGCCAUCUAAAAAACAGUCACGUUUCCAGGACCUCGCAUUCUCUGGAGCGAUCAUAUAGUUAAACUACAACCACUGUUAUUAAGAAGAAAAAAAAUGUGAAAGAAAAUUGCAGGCCAAAAGAGUGGAAGAAAAGAAAAAUAAAUGAUGAAAAAAGAGAACAGUGGAUGCAAGCAUUCCACGAGGAAGGAAUGAAUUAAUAUUUCAUAUAAGUGGAGAAUGUAACACAUGUUCUAUGAACAUUCAAAUUUUUUAUCAGAACUAUUCAUGUGGAUCUUCUACUAAAUUUGAGCAGUGUACAUCUCCAUUAAACACGUUGUCUGACACAAUAAUUAUGAUUAAUAGCACUGUUACACUAUUUUACAGAUGCAUUAUUAAUUACACUGUUGAUCCUUUCACUGUGAUUGACAGAAACUAUUAUAGUAAUCCAGUUCACAAAGAAAACACCACAGUGAAAUAGUUAAAUACUCAAUUUUUAAUAAUUCCCAUAGCAGUCAACGUGUUGCAACAUUAAUUCAUUGCCUUGAAUGUCUCACGCCAAAAGAAGUGGCAGUAGAAGACAUAAAGAACAGAUUGAAAUGACAAAGAUAGUUAAGGCGAGGCACAAUAACGAACCAGAAAAAUAGAGAGACAAAGAAAAAAUACAAUAAAUAAACAGCCUAUUAUACAAGGUAGGAAAACGUGUGUGUUUACCAGGGCGACGACUUACGAUAUCAUCAAUAGAACAUACCAUGGUGGCGCGCUUCUCUUUUCUCUACUUUCUUAUUUUUUCUUUAAUUUAAUAAACGUUACUUAAAGAGCACUAGUUGUACGUGAGUGUGUAUAGUCUGUACAAUAAUCGCGAGAAGAAAUUGGUAAUGGAAACAAUCGUGUAUGGUAUGGUGAAGCUUUGCCGUCCGUCGAACACUGUCAUGAGGAACGGCUAUCGUCGCGGUAAUAUUCGGAUAGGGCGAUAUAGCGGUUGCGUGGUGGGUCCGUACCACACCCCGCAACCUCCAGCCAAUCGCAAGCUCCUCCUUUGCUACGGGCCAAGAGAUAAAUUGCUCUUUUCCUGUUACCUCUGUCAUCGUAUAGAAUGACAAAUAAAAAGCACGGCGGCAUCGUUGCCAGAUUUUAUCCUUUAAAACGCUGUUGCCGUAUCUAUUACAAUUUGGCGGUAAAUGAUAGUUUAAAGGAAUUCAAACUUGGAGUUGCAUUUCAAUUUCAAGUAGUCCAUUUGUGAUUUCAUUAAUUACAGAAAUACUAUUAGAAGUAUGAACACAAUAGUUUCAUCGUUACAUGUAUUAAUACACAUUCUCAGACCUCUUUCACUUAAGUUGUUCUUUUUAACAUGUUUAUUCAUUAGUACUUAUUCAACUUUGUCUAAUGAAUAGAAUAGUGAAUAGA